UACGUAGGGUGCAAGCGUUGUUCGGAAUUACUGGGCGUAAAGGGCGCGUAGGCGGUCCGCUAAGUUAGAUGUGAAAACUCUGGGCUCAACCCAGAGCCUGCAUCUAAUACUGACGGGCUAGAGUUCUGGAGGGGGUAGCGGAAUUCCUGGUGUAGCGGUGAAAUGCGUAGAUAUCAGGAGGAACACCGGUGGCGAAGGCGGCUACCUGGACAGAAACUGACGCUGAGGCGCGAAAGCUAGGGGAGCAAACAGG
RNAcentral lists this ribosomal RNA (253 nucleotides) under uncultured bacterium. Its description in RNAcentral is "partial 16S ribosomal RNA". It matches the Rfam family "Bacterial small subunit ribosomal RNA", at positions 524 to 776 of the family's 1533-position model. The record is from RNAcentral.